AAACUACUCAGCUUUUACUUUCAUUUUCUUCCAGUGAGGAGGGCCCCAAGUCCAUGAUCAACAUCUAGCAAACUUUGAAAUACAUCCCUGGUCCAACACACCUCCAUCAAAUGACUGAACUCCCUCAUCAGCAGCCAUUCAGCUCUGUAGAGGCCUGGUAAUGAGCCACUGAUUUGAUUCAGGUGUGUUGGACAUGGGACGUGUCUGAGAGCUGCAGGAUGGUGGAUCUCAAGAACUGAACUUGGGUAUCUAGUGUGUUGGGUCCCGUCCAGCACAUCUUUACUGAGAGACUGCUUGACUGUUAAAUCAUCCAUCUUCCUAUCCACCUCACAUAGCAAUUUUUAAUGUAGGUCAAAAAAUUUUAUUUCAUUCACAUUAAUCCAUUUAUUUGUUUUGUCUCCUACAUGACUUUUUGGAUAAAUUAAUCUUUGAGAUUCCUUGUAACUGUCAUCCAUCUUGAAACUCUCCCAUAGGAGCAAGGUUUGUUAACUGCAUGGCAAAUAGUAGACCUGUGAACAAAUUGUGGAUCUCUGCAGCUCAUCCAGAGGUACCAUGGGUCUCUUUUUCUGUUACUCUGAUUAUUGGUCUUCUUGUUGGCCUGUCAGUUUAAACUGAUCUUUGUCUUGCUAGGGUUGCAGGUGUGCCACAUUCCCUUUUCAGGUGAUGGACUGAACAAUUCUUUUUGACAUGUUCAAAGCUUGGGAAAUUAUACAGAACUGUGCAAAAAAAACAGAAAACUGUCACUGGCUCGCCUAAGGUAAAGAGUGUCCUUUCAGCUUUACCAGAACA
Molecule: long non-coding RNA, 789 nt
Organism: Poecilia latipinna (sailfin molly)
Lineage: Eukaryota; Metazoa; Chordata; Actinopteri; Cyprinodontiformes; Poeciliidae
Exons: 3
Source: RefSeq, a predicted model, not a curated record